RNAcentral lists this ribosomal RNA (480 nucleotides) under uncultured bacterium. RNAcentral describes it as "partial 16S ribosomal RNA". It matches the Rfam family "Bacterial small subunit ribosomal RNA", at positions 30 to 507 of the family's 1533-position model. The record is from RNAcentral.
AUUGAACGCUGGCGGCAGGUUUAACACAUGCAAGUCGAACGAUGAGUCUCUAGCUUGCUAGAGAUGAUUAGUGGCGGACGGGUGAGUAACAUUUAGGAAUCUACCUAGUAGUGGGGGAUAGCUCGGGGAAACUCGAAUUAAUACCGCAUACGACCUACGGGUGAAAGGGGGCGCAAGCUCUUGCUAUUAGAUGAGCCUAAAUCAGAUUAGCUAGUUGGUGGGGUAAAGGCCCACCAAGGCGACGAUCUGUAACUGGUCUGAGAGGAUGAUCAGUCACACCGGAACUGAGACACGGUCCGGACUCCUACGGGAGGCAGCAGUGGGGAAUAUUGGACAAAGGGGGCAACCCUGAUCCAGCCAUGCCGCGUGUGUGAAGAAGGCCUUUUGGUUGUAAAGCACUUUAAGCAGGGAGGAGAGGCUAAUGGUUAAUACCCAUUAGAUUAGACGUUACCUGCAGAAUAAGCACCGGCUAACUCUGUG